Molecule: ribosomal RNA, 370 nt
Filed under: uncultured organism
Description: partial 16S ribosomal RNA
Rfam family: Bacterial small subunit ribosomal RNA
Source: RNAcentral
GUAGGGUGCAAGCGUUAAUCGGAAUUACUGGGCGUAAAGCGUGCGCAGGCGGUUAUGUAAGACAGAUGUGAAAUCCCCGGGCUCAACCUGGGAACUGCAUUUGUGACUGCAUGGCUAGAGUACGGUAGAGGGGGAUGGAAUUCCGCGUGUAGCAGUGAAAUGCGUAGAUAUGCGGAGGAACACCGAUGGCGAAGGCAAUCCCCUGGACCUGUACUGACGCUCAUGCACGAAAGCGUGGGGAGCAAACAGGAUUAGAUACCCUGGUAGUCCCACGCCCUAAACGAUGUCAACUGGUUGUUGGGAAUUAGUUUUCUCAGUAACGAAGCUAACGCGUGAAGUUGACCCGCCUGGGAGUACGGCCGCAAGGUUG